ACUGCUAGAUGAACGCUGGCGGCAGGCCUAACACAUGCAAGUCGAGCGGAAACGACACUAACAAUCCUUCGGGUGCGUUAAUGGGCGUCGAGCGGCGGACGGGUGAGUAAUGCCUAGGAAAUUGCCUUGAUGUGGGGGAUAACCAUUGGAAACGAUGGCUAAUACCGCAUAAUGCCUACGGGCCAAAGAGGGGGAUCUUCGGGCCUCUCGCGUCAAGAUAUGCCUAGGUGGGAUUAGCUAGUUGGUGAGGUAAUGGCUCACCAAGGCGACGAUCCCUAGCUGGUCUGAGAGGAUGAUCAGCCACACUGGAACUGAGACACGGUCCAGACUCCUACGGGAGGCAGCAGUGGGGAAUAUUGCACAAUGGGCGAAAGCCUGAUGCAGCCAUGCCGCGUGUAUGAAGAAGGCCUUCGGGUUGUAAAGUACUUUCAGUUGUGAGGAAGGGUGUGUAGUUAAUAGCUGCGC
RNAcentral lists this ribosomal RNA (465 nucleotides) under marine bacterium 13721. RNAcentral's name for it is "bacterial SSU rRNA". It matches the Rfam family "Bacterial small subunit ribosomal RNA", at positions 28 to 468 of the family's 1533-position model. Lineage: Bacteria; Pseudomonadati; Pseudomonadota; Gammaproteobacteria; Vibrionales; Vibrionaceae. The record is from RNAcentral.